RNAcentral lists this long non-coding RNA (223 nucleotides) under Marmota monax (woodchuck). Lineage: Eukaryota; Metazoa; Chordata; Mammalia; Rodentia; Sciuridae. The record is from RNAcentral.
CCUCCUGCCUCAACCUCCUGAGUCCCUGGAACUACAGGUGUGCACUGUCAUGCCCUGCUAACCAAUGUUUGUUAAGUAUGUAUCCUGAAUGCCUCAGACAGGAGUUGUUUGUUUAAACAGACCUAAUUCAUAGUUUACAAAGGUGACUCAUCCAACAUUAUCAAAGGGGAUAAAUGAAAACCCAAACAUUCCAUUUUUCAAAUCUGGGUUCUUUUCUAUUUCU